UAUCCGCUGUCAAGAUUUGAAGAUCGUAAACGAAGAAGACUUGUAUUAUGACUGUCUCUCGGAUCCGUCACAGUCUUGUGUAAGACAGCUGUUUGUGACAUCGAAUCCUUAGUUAACAAGACAACACUAUGGCAUCUACUUGCGCUGAAAAUGUCCAUGGUCAGUGCUGGAUUGAGGGAUGAUCUUCUCCAGCAACUGUGAUCGGCAUGGCAACACUGCUGUUAGCAUCACUAGCUGAGUAAAAUCACCGAUGUUUUCAGGGGGCAAUGCAUGUUUUCCUGUUGUCAGAAAUGAAUCUUCAGGGCAUCAAAAAAUACACUGUUCACAGAUAAAUCACAGCAAGCCUAACAGACAAGAUCUACAAGCACUCCCCACCCAGACUGACUACCUUAGAGGUGGUUUUGGCCUUGUCCCGUGCAUUUUUGGCAAUAACAGGGAAACUAGCAUGUCACAGAAGGCAACUGGCAUCAGGCAAGUGACUAUCAACACACAUGGGGACCAGCAGCAAGCCCUCUUCCCGACCGUGAUGCCCGUGGAGUAUUUUGGUCCUCCCAACUAUGCUACCUUCAAGGCCCAACUUACACAAAGCAGCUAUGGAAGAAGUGGAGCCAGCCAAGCGGGAGCUUCGGAAUGUGAGAAGUCAGUGGAGAAUCAGCACAGUCAGGCAGUGGUCAAUAAAACAGUUCAGUGUGAUAUCUGUGGAGACGUCAUAAAAGACUUGUAUGAAUUUAGAACUAUAAAGUGUGAUGCUUGCAAGAAGAUGUCCACCCACACAAAUGCUGACCUCACUCGACCCCACAAUAAAGUGUACCCUUGCGACAUGUGUGACAAGACUUAUGUGUCUCAAACAACCUUGAAAACUCACAUGAGAGUCCACAGCGGAGAGAAGUCGUUCAGCUGCCCUUUCUGUGACAAGAUGUUUCUGUACGAAGGGAAUAUGAAGACGCAUGUGAGAACCCACACGGGGGAGAAACCGUUUAACUGUGAGGUGUGUGGGAAGAGUUUCUCACAGUCCGGAACAUUGAAGAAACAUCUUAGAAUGCAUUCUGGAGAGAAACCCUUUAAGUGUGAGUUUUGUGACAAGACAUUUGCAUAUUCUGAAAAUCUUAUCCCACAUCGACGUGUCCAUUCCCGUGAAAGACCAUUCCAGUGUCAUUUGUGUGAGAAAGUGUUUUCUCAACCAGGAUCCCUUAAAACCCAUUUGAAAUCACAGCAUGGUAGUGAUAAUGGUUUACCAAACACGAAACCGAUGACAAAUGGGAUUAAGAGUGAAUAUUUCAAGGCUCCUGUUUUGGAUGGAGAUGAGGAAAUAAAUUUGAUUUAGUUAGAUCUUUGUAACACUGUCCCACAUUAAUAGAACUUCUUGACUUUUGAUGAGGCUGUCUUCACAGCAUGUUGCUCAUGUUAAACACAAACUCAAAUGAGCAUCAAUUCACCGUGGUAUCUCACCAAUGUCUUAGUCCAAUGAUGGAUUUCAAACCACAGACCUUGUGAUCCGAGGUCUGAUGCCAUGUGCACAUGAAAAGAACAAGUUUAGCAUACCAGCAAAGAUGAUCAUGUCAUUGAUAACAUGACUCUAUGUCUGCUGCAUACUCCUGUCACUGAAGGUGGGUAGGGUACUGAGACGUAUUUUACUCAAUCAAACUUAAAUCUGCUCAGACCCAAAGGCACCGGUGUAGCAGCAAAAACAAUCCUGUAAUGGGAUUCAAACUAUGUACCUUCAGAUUUUAGGUCAGACACGUUUUUCUCAUGACCAAAAUGGUCAGCAAGGUGACAAGAUAAUGGUAUCAUCGGUGGGAUGCCCACACCAAGCUGCAUUUAGAUUGGCAAAUGUUUCAUCGAUUUUGAGUGAGUGAGUAUGGUUUUACGCUGCUUUAGCAAUAUUCCAGCAAUAUCACGGCGUGGGACACCAGCAGUGGAUAAUUGAUUUUGAAGCCUCCUUACUAUUACCAUGCUGUGAUGGUUUAAGUGUGUAAGUUUCAGUUACCAAUAAAGCAGGUGGUCUCUCUGUGUAAUUUUCAGUUACCAGUAAAACAGAUGGUCUAUAUGUGUAAGAUGCAGUUACCAGUAAAACAGAUGGUCUCAGUGUGUAAGUUUGAGUUACCAAUAAAACAGAUGGUCUCAGUGUGUAAGUUUCAGUUACCAGUAAAACAAAUGGUCUCUGUGUGUAAGUACCUGUGAAGGUCCGGGUUAGAAUGAACCUUCACUAACCCAUGCUUGUCGUAUGAGGCGACUGACGGGAUCCGGUGGUCAGGCUUGCUGGGUUGAUUGACACAUGUCAUCGGUUCCCAAUUGCGCAGGUCGAUGCUCAUGAUGUUGAUCACUGGAUUGUAAGUUGAUUCAGUUUCAGGCUCUUCACACCAAAGACCCGAGAACAAUUCCCCACAUUGGUACAAUAUGUAAAGCCCAUUUCUGGUGUCCCCUGCUGCGACAUUGCAGGAAUGCUGAUAAGCUGCAUUAAACUUUACUCACUCACUCACUGUUUUUCUGCGAUGCAUUCAUAUGCUUUCCAUAGCUGUUUUGCGUUUUAAACCCAAUGCGGUGUAAAACCAUACUAACUCACUCACUCAAUCUUCUGUUACAUUUUCUCUGUGGGCUCCUGUACCCGUGGUCCUCUGUUGAAGCAUCAAACAAACAGACACAUAGAGUAGAUGGAGUGUAUCGUACAGCAAGAGCGGAACCAUUUGACCAAAAGAAUAUUUAGAUGUUAUUGUGCCACGUUGGCACCCCUGAAUUUUUGUUGUUGUAAUGUUGUUUUAUUUGUGAAAGCUUGUGAAGUAGGUAAUGAAAAACUGUGGCCUUGAUUUAAAUCUCUUCUGUGGGCCAACUUGAUCAUCAGUAGUAUGAAUCUCAUGGAAAUGUUAUCUGUGAACAAUGUUUUGUGUCUGUUCAUCCCGUUUGUUAUCCACUGAUUCUAUGAUUCUGUAUCCUAGACAUAUAUAAUUCUUAGUCUAUCUAUGAAUUAAAACAUCUGUCCAGAAUUGA
RNAcentral lists this unclassified non-coding RNA (2985 nucleotides) under Haliotis rubra (blacklip abalone). RNAcentral's name for it is "zinc finger protein 235-like, transcript variant X2". The record is from RNAcentral. Lineage: Eukaryota; Metazoa; Mollusca; Gastropoda; Lepetellida; Haliotidae.